UAGUGAGUUUGAUCCUGGCUCAGAACGAACGCUGGCGGCAUGCCUAACACAUGCAAGUCGAACGCAAGUAGAAAUACUUGAGUGGCGGACGGGUGAGUAACGCGUGAGAAUCUGCCUUCUGGUCGGGGACAACCACUGGAAACGGUGGCUAAUACCGGAUAUGCCUAUGGGUGAAAGAUUAAUUGCCAGAAGAAGAGCUCGCGUCUGAUUAGCUAGUUGGUGAGGUAAAGGCUCACCAAGGCCACGAUCAGUAGCUGGUCUGAGAGGACGACCAGCCACACUGGAACUGAGACACGGCCAGACUCCUACGGGAGGCAGCAGUGGGGAAUAUUGGACAAUGGGCGCAAGCCUGAUCCAGCAAUGCCCGCGUGAGUGAUGAAAGGCCUUAGGGUUGUAAAGCUCUUUUACCCGGGAUGAUAAUGACAGUACCGGGGAGAAUAAGCCCCAGCUAACUCCGUGCCAGCAGCCGCGGUAAUCUGAUGGCGCGAGGGGAGC
RNAcentral lists this ribosomal RNA (495 nucleotides) under uncultured bacterium. RNAcentral describes it as "bacterial SSU rRNA". It matches the Rfam family "Bacterial small subunit ribosomal RNA", at positions 1 to 544 of the family's 1533-position model. The record is from RNAcentral.